UUAAUUGAAGAGUUUGAUCAUGGCUCAGAUUGAACGCUGGCGGCAGGCCUAACACAUGCAAGUCGAGCGGCAGCACAGAGGAACUUGUUCCUUGGGUGGCGAGCGGCGGACGGGUGAGUAAUGCCUGGGAAAUUGCCCGG
Molecule: ribosomal RNA, 140 nt
Filed under: Vibrio cholerae
Lineage: Bacteria; Pseudomonadati; Pseudomonadota; Gammaproteobacteria; Vibrionales; Vibrionaceae
Description: partial 16S ribosomal RNA
Rfam family: Bacterial small subunit ribosomal RNA
Source: RNAcentral